GAUGAACGCUGGCGGCGUGCUUAACACAUGCAAGUCGAACGCUGAAGCGUGGUGCUUGCACUGGGUGGAUGAGUGGCGAACGGGUGAGUAACACGUGAGUAACCUGCCCUUGACUUCGGGAUAAGCCCGGGAAACUGGGUCUAAUACUGGAUAUGACUUCCUACCGCAUGGUGGGGGGUGGAAAGAUUUAUCGGUUGGGGAUGGACUCGCGGCCUAUCAGUUUGUUGGUGGGGUAAUGGCCUACCAAGACGUCGACGGGUAGCCGGCCUGAGAGGGUGACCGGCCACACUGGGACUGAGACACGGCCCAGACUCCUACGGGAGGCAGCAGUGGGGAAUAUUGCACAAUGGGCGCAAGCCUGAUGCAGCGACGCCGCGUGAGGGAUGACGGCCUUCGGGUUGUAAACCUCUUUCAGUAGGGAAGCAGCCCUUUUAGGGUGACGGUACCUGCAGAAGAAGCGCCGGCUAACUACGUGCCAGCAGCCGCGGUAAUACGUAGGGCGCAAGCGUUAUCCGGAAUUAUUGGGCGUAAAGAGCUCGUAGGCGGUUUGUCGCGUCUGCUGUGAAAGCCCGGGGCUUAACUCCGGGUGUGCAGUGGGUACGGGCAGGCUAGAGUGCAGUAGGGGAGACUGGAAUUUCUGGUGUAGCGGUGGAAUGCGCAGAUAUCAGGAGGAACACCGAUGGCGAAGGCAGGUCUCUGGGCUGUUACUGACGCUGAGGAGCGAAAGCAUGGGGAGCGAACAGG
RNAcentral lists this ribosomal RNA (744 nucleotides) under uncultured Actinomycetales bacterium. Its description in RNAcentral is "bacterial SSU rRNA". It matches the Rfam family "Bacterial small subunit ribosomal RNA", at positions 28 to 776 of the family's 1533-position model. Lineage: Bacteria; Bacillati; Actinomycetota; Actinomycetes; Actinomycetales. The record is from RNAcentral.